UCCUCUCCUCUCCUCACUCUCUACUUCGCUCGCACUUCGUAAUACGCACGUGCGCCUUUGACCCCCUCGCGACUCCACCAAGAAGCUUCGAUACCCCUUCCCCUUCCCCUUCCCCAUGGGUCACUCGCUUGCCCUAAUCGCUCUCUCUCCUCAAUCAGGUCAGCUCCUCACUGCUAAUUGAUCGAAUAAUUCACCGGAGCUUCGACCAAUUAGGCGCCGUGUUUCGUCGAUUCAGAAUGAGAUGGUGCAGUUUGCUUCUGCUGUAACUGUGGACUUUCCUCGUUGAAGUUUUCCUUGGGAUAGAAAGACAUACAUUAGGGUUUUGGAUCGGGAAGUGGGUGCACGGAUUCUCCAAUGUGAUGGUGUCUUUGAGAGUUUGUUCGGAAUUUUAGGUCUGAUGGUAGCGAGAAAUUCAAAAAUGAAAAUGCAGGUGGCUCAGCAUCCCUCCCGAGUAGACACUUUACAAUUGAAACUCCAAAUCCAGAGGAAGCUUGGGAAAGAGAAAGCAGAGAAAUACUUUCAUCUUUUGAAUCAAUACUUGAGUUUUAAGAUUAGCAAGUCAGAGUUUGACAGGCACUGCAUUCUGGCAAUUGGGAGACAGAACAUCUGUCUCCAUAAUCAGCUUAUCCAAUCAAUUAUAAAAAAUGCAUGUACUGGUAAGACUCCCCCACCUAAAGGGAGCAAAACAGACAGUUUGUUGAAAGUGCAAAAUGGGCAUCAAAGAAGUAGUCUUCAGUCAAUCUGUAGAGAUGUGUUUCCUCAGUCUCCACGGAAGGGAAGGACGCCUAAUCUUCGGGAUAGAAAGUUUAGGGAUCGUCCAAGUCCUCUUGGGCCACAUGGGAAGACCCACAGUAUUGAAUGUGAGGAUUCUGUUCCUAAAACUCAGGAACAGCAAAGUGUGGAGCUGCUCUCUUUAGGUAGCAGGCCACCUCCUGAAGUGAACUCUGUUGAAGAAGGCGAAGAGGUUGAACAAGCUGCUGGAAGCCCUAGUAUUUACAGUAGAAGCCCUGUCACAGCUCCACUCGGUAUCUCCAUAAACGGGAAAGAAACGAGGAAAGUGCUGCGUAGUGGAUCAGCAACUGCCUUUUAUAUUGACUCCUGUCUCAACAGCAGUGGGCUGCCGAAUAACAGUUCUCUGAAGGCUAGAUUGGAGCAGAAGUUCGAGACGGAGGGCUUGAAAAUUUCAAUGGAUUGUGUUAACCUGUUGAAUAACAGUCUGGAUGUUUACCUAAAGGGAUUGAUAAAGCCAUGUUUGGAAUUAGCUGGUUCAAUUUCUGUGAAUAAGCACUCAAGUGAGGUAUGCAAUCAGGUGAUGCUCGGUUUAAAUAGGAUGCAUCCUGUGAGAUAUGUACAAAAAGCAAACAGACCCAUUUUUGCAUCCUUGUUGGAUUUCCGGGUUGCAAUGGAAUCACAUCCCAAGAGGCUAGGAGAAGAUUGGCAAGUGCAACUUGAGAAGAUUUGCUUGCAUGCAUCAGAUCAAGAAUGACUUCAAAUUGAAUGGCACAUGAUUUUGGUGGGACAAUAUUUUCAACUUCAUCCCAGAGAUAAUGUGUUAUUGUGAUUCUUGAGUUGAGACCAUUCUAACAAUGAUGUUGACCUCACAUUUUUUAUGAACAAUGCUGAAGAGUUUACGUGGUUAAAGCUAUGGAAAUUUUGGAUCAAAGCAAUUAGGAUGUGUAUAAUCUCAGUGCUGAUUGUUUCUGAAAUGGGACAACAUACAUGGGAAGGAUGUGCAUAGAGGCAGGAAGUCAGUGAAGUCCAUAGAUGUUACUUCCGAGUGGCUUGCCCAUAAAUGUUAUCUAAAAGGUGUCAGCCUGCUAUAUGUAAUUGUUCUCUACAGCAAGAAGCUAUAAUUUGAUGGAAACUGCUUAUUAAAGAAGUUAUUUUGGUUUAGUGGUGGAUUUUUCUUUUUGUUGAAACAUCACAUAUGUGCACAUAUUUUUUUAAGGACUGAUUUUUCUUUCUUGGGUCCUGUCUACUCACAGGAAUAUACACAGGCAGUAGGAUCUAAGCUUCAGCAAGAGUCACAUCGAUACCUAUGCCUGUUGUGCUUCACAAAGAAUUUGUUGGUUUCACUUCAAUUUUAACUUCCAUCUUUGAAAGUUGUGUUUUCAUGUUGUAUAGGCUGGUAUCACAAUAUCAACUAUGUGAUGAAACAUAACUAUAUCAAUUAUUUUUGUUCAACACCAUCUCACGAAACUUUUCUAUAUGAAGAUGGUGCUGAAACUACAUUUCCUCGGCAGAGGGUUGUGUUAGGAAGGGCAUCAGGUGUAUUAUUUUGCCACAUUGUUCUUUUGCAUAAAUUUGUAUUAUGAAUGUGACUUUUAGAAGUUAAUUG
This is an RNA transcript of Diospyros lotus (date-plum), 2338 nucleotides long. RefSeq lists it as uncharacterized. Lineage: Eukaryota; Viridiplantae; Streptophyta; Magnoliopsida; Ericales; Ebenaceae. The transcript is spliced from 3 exons. The record is from RefSeq and is a predicted model, not a curated record.